This 496-nucleotide ribosomal RNA is filed under the name uncultured Streptococcus sp. RNAcentral describes it as "partial 16S ribosomal RNA". The record is from RNAcentral. Lineage: Bacteria; Bacillati; Bacillota; Bacilli; Lactobacillales; Streptococcaceae.
CACGUAGUUAGCCGUCCCUUUCUGGUAAGAUACCGUCACAAUGUGAACUUUCCACUCUCACACUCGUUCUUCUCUUACAACAGAGCUUUACGAUCCGAAAACCUUCUUCACUCACGCGGCGUUGCUCGGUCAGACUUCCGUCCAUUGCCGAAGAUUCCCUACUGCUGCCUCCCGUAGGAGUCUGGGCCGUGUCUCAGUCCCAGUGUAGCCGAUCACCCUCUCAGGUCGGCUAUGUAUCGUUGCCUUGGUGAGCCGUUACCUCACCAACUAGCUAAUACAACGCAGGUCCAUCUGGUAGUGGUGCAUUUGCACCUUUCAAGCAGCUAUCAUGCGAUAUCUACUGUUAUGCGUAUUAGCUAUCGUUUACCAAUAGUUACUCCCCCGCUACCAGGCAGGUUACCUACGCGUUACUCACCCGUUCGCAACUUCAUACCGGAAAGACGACAAGCCUUACCUUCCUUCAGUCGUUUCUACUUGCAUGUAUUAGGCCACGUCC